RNAcentral lists this long non-coding RNA (243 nucleotides) under Mytilus galloprovincialis (Mediterranean mussel). The record is from RNAcentral. Lineage: Eukaryota; Metazoa; Mollusca; Bivalvia; Mytilida; Mytilidae.
UGUCAAUUAGCUUUGGGUAGAGAAUCAUGUUGUACAGUUUAAACAAAUUGAUGGAUAAAUAAAGAAUAUUUUCCCACUGAUAACUACUACUUUAGGUCAUUUUAGAUUUUACUUGUAUUAACAUUUAAAGAAUGGAGGUGGGCAGAUACAUUUUCAGUGAGGGAAAAACUGAAUUAAUAUUUUUGUAGACAUGGGAUACAAUUCAUAAGGGCUUUUCCAUUAAAACAUAUAUGGUACAUAGGG